Molecule: ribosomal RNA, 487 nt
Filed under: uncultured bacterium
Lineage: Bacteria
Description: SSU rRNA
Rfam family: Bacterial small subunit ribosomal RNA
Source: RNAcentral
AGGACGAACGCUGGCGGCGUGCCUAACACAUGCAAGUCGAACGAGGUCCAACCGGUGGCAACACUGGUGAAGACCUAGUGGCGAACGGGUGAGUAUCACGUGAGCAACCUGCCCCGAAGACUGGGAUAACACCGGGAAACCGGUGCUAAUACCGGAUACCCCCACCGGAUCGCAUGGUCUGGUGAGGAAAUGAAUUUUUGCUUUGGGAGGGACUCGCGGCCUAUCAGCUUGUUGGUGGUGUAACGGACCACCAAGGCUUCGACGGGUAGCUGGUCUGAGAGGACGAUCAGCCACACUGGGACUGAGACACGGCCCAGACUCCUACGGGAGGCAGCAGUGGGGAAUCUUGCGCAAUGGGCGAAAGCCUGACGCAGCAACGCCGCGUGAGGGACGAAGGCCUUCUGGGUUGUAAACCUCUUUCAGCAGGGACGAUGAUGACGGUACCUGCAGAGAACGCCCGGCCAACUACGCGCCAGCGAGCCGCGGU